This is a long non-coding RNA of Tupaia belangeri chinensis (Chinese tree shrew), 299 nucleotides long. RefSeq lists it as uncharacterized. Lineage: Eukaryota; Metazoa; Chordata; Mammalia; Scandentia; Tupaiidae. The record is from RefSeq and is a predicted model, not a curated record. The transcript has 3 exons.
AGAUCAUUUUAUAGAGCAGUGGGUACCAUUUUAAAAGAAAAGAAAUAGAACGAAGACCUGGCGCCAGGGCAGGGCUGUGUAGAUGUGAAUUUAUCCUUCUGCAGUGCAAAGAAUAAAUGUGUUGGGAUGAACUCUUAAUCUUCGUGGAAAUGAUAGACUCUGAGUGGACAGGAGAAGGUGUGUACAUUGUGAGGAGAAAACCAGAUUCUCUCCAAUGACUGAAACAGCAACUGAAAUCAACAUCCAAUUCAUCGCAAGUCCUACUGUUAUAGUCCCCCAAGAGCAUCCUAUAUGCAGGU